GACGAACGCUGGCGGCGUGCUUAACACAUGCAAGUCGAACGGAAAGGCCCUGCUUUUGUGGGGUGCUCGAGUGGCGAACGGGUGAGUAACACGUGAGUAACCUGCCCUUGACUUUGGGAUAACUUCAGGAAACUGGGGCUAAUACCGGAUAGGAGCUCCUGCUGCAUGGUGGGGGUUGGAAAGUUUCGGCGGUUGGGGAUGGACUCGCGGCUUAUCAGCUUGUUGGUGGGGGAGUGGCUUACCAAGGCUUUGACGGGUAGCCGGCCUGAGAGGGUGACCGGCCACAUUGGUACUGAGAUACGGCCCAGACUCCUACGGGAGGCAGCGGUGGGGAAUAUUGCACAGUGGGCGGGAGCCUGAUGCAGCAACGCCGCGUGCGGGAUGACGGCCUUCGGGUUGUAAACCGCUUUCGCCUGUGACGAAGCGUGAGUGACGGUAAUGGGUAAAGAAGCACCGGCUAACUACGUG
RNAcentral lists this ribosomal RNA (468 nucleotides) under uncultured bacterium. RNAcentral describes it as "partial 16S ribosomal RNA". It matches the Rfam family "Bacterial small subunit ribosomal RNA", at positions 28 to 507 of the family's 1533-position model. The record is from RNAcentral.